Molecule: long non-coding RNA, 1986 nt
Filed under: Citrus x clementina
Lineage: Eukaryota; Viridiplantae; Streptophyta; Magnoliopsida; Sapindales; Rutaceae
Description: Citrus clementina (C. clementina) long non-coding RNA (CCLE_LNC002844)
Source: RNAcentral
AUUUAUUAAUCGAAUAACAAUAUAGUAUUACAUUUUUUUACAAUAAAAAAUAAAUAAAAUGUCAACUUGAUCUGACCUAGUUCUUCAAAAGUUCAAGCUCUGUUGUGUAGUGUUCUCUGAAUAACAUAAAAACAAGUAUACUACAAAAAUAAAAUAAGAAGUAAAAAUAAAAUUUUAAAGAUCUAUAAAUUGAAAAAGAAGAUCAAAUGUAAAUGUGAACUACUAGAAGUCACUUUGAAAAAGUUAAAUGAUAAUGAUAACAAUAAAAAAAAAGCCUUUCUCAAUUUUUACUUGGCUCAAAGUUACAAUGAAAUUAUUCAUUUCCCUUACUGGUCAUACCCUUUCUCAGUAACCAAACGCAGAAUUUUGAAACAGAAACAUACACAACCUUGAAAACAAUCACCAUUAGAUAAUAUUCGAUCCUAGCAAGUGAUAAUAAGAGUACUACUACUUAGCAAAACUAAAAUCUAGUAACAAUUCCUUUCAGAAAGAAAAAUAAUAAUAACCGAUAUCCAAUUUCAACAAACAUAAAUAAACUCAGAAAAGAUUUAGAGAAAUUAAGAAAGAAACACUGGUAACCCAAAAAAAAAAAAAGGGAAAUCAAAAGCUUACCAUAGAAUGUGAUUUGACCGUGAAUUUGUCGAUUCUCCAAUAGUUGGGGUUUGCUCGCCUUUGACAAACAAAAAGAUUUGAGCGUUAAAAAUCGAGCUCCGGUUCGAAUGGUUCUUCAAGCAAUAACUUUGAAAUGCUACAGGAUACGAUUUUUUUGGUUUAAGGGAUCUGGGAGAGUGAAUGAAAGAUUCUAGUUAGGGAUUUAAGAGUUGAGAGGGAAAAUUUUAGACCAGAGAGGGAAGAUGAAAAUUUUGUACAUGGUUUUCUUCUUUAUCUUAAGAGAAAACGGUGUUGUAUUCUCUUUAUAACAUGGGAAAUAAUAAAAAGUUCAUCAGUGCUAAACAGUUAAAACGCCGAGAAAAGGCCGAGAGAAAUUACAUUUGUAUUGUCGUUUCGCUUCUCUCCCUCUCUCAACAUUAUAAACAUUUUUUUUUUAAUUAAAAAAAAAAGCCAGAUCAUCCUUAUUGUCCAUCUGUCUCGAGCUUCUCUUAUCCUUACUCUCUCACGACUGCAGAUCGUUCUCACUCUCUCUGUCCCGACUUCUCUUAUCCUCACUGUCUCAUGACUGCAGAUUAUCCUCGCCCUCUCUCUGCCUCAACUUCUCUUAUCCUUACUCUCUCCAGUCUUCCUCACUCUCUCCAGAUCGUCGUUCCCCAUCACGCUUCCUCAUUCUCUGCGGCCUCACUCUCCGCGCCUGUUGGCUGUUUAUGGUUAGUGAUUAAUGUUUGUUUUUAAUUUUUUUGAAAAUUAAUUUUGUAAAUCAUUGUACUGCCGUUUAGAGUAUUAAUUGCAAUACAAACCAAAAAUCCGCCUGUUUAUGGAUUAAUUUUGUAAAUUUUGGUGGUAAUUAUUUGACGAUAAAGAUGAAUCUUUUGUUUGGAAUAUUAAUUGUGUGAGAAUUGCUGUGAAAAUUGCUGGAUUUUUAAUUUGGAGUCUUAAUUGUGUGAAAAUUAUUAUGGAAAUUGUUGGAUUUUUCAUUUGAAGUCUUAAUUGUGUGAAAAUUGUUGUGGAAAUUGCUGGAUUUUUCGUUAGAUAUAUUAAUUGUGUGAAAAUUGCUACAAAAAUUACUAGAUUUUGAUUCAAUGUGAUGUAGAAAUAUGAGUCGGGUGAAAAUUUUAUUGAUCUGUUAAGAAAAUGUCUAAUUUAAGCUGGGGUCAUUGCUGUGAAUAUGUAGGUCUGAAUUUGGUAUUCCAUAUGUAGAAAUUUUGGUCUUUAACGUUUUGUAUGGGGAGUAGUUCUAGGGAUAGAUGAACGCAAAUGAAGAUAUUUAGUGUAGUUGGCAAUGACCCCGGAAAAAGAUAUUCUCCUUAUCUCUUCUUAACUUUUCAAGAUCUCCUGCCAUGUGUAUUUUAGUGGUAGUGUAUAGGUAAAAUU